This 120-nucleotide ribosomal RNA is filed under the name Carassius auratus (goldfish). Lineage: Eukaryota; Metazoa; Chordata; Actinopteri; Cypriniformes; Cyprinidae. The record is from RNAcentral.
GCUUAUGGCCAUACCAGCCUGGCUAUGCCUGAUCUUGUCUUGAUCUCGUAAGCUAAGCAGGUUUGGGCCUGGUUAGUGCCUGGAUGGGAGACCGCCUGGGAAUGCCAGGUACUGUAAGCU